Molecule: long non-coding RNA, 491 nt
Organism: Labeo rohita (rohu)
Lineage: Eukaryota; Metazoa; Chordata; Actinopteri; Cypriniformes; Cyprinidae
Exons: 3
Source: RefSeq, a predicted model, not a curated record
CGGAGUUUACUGCUUCAAACAUAAACAACGAUGGCAAAGGGAGUGGAUGUCUUCUUUUAAGGUUGUGUAACCAAAAUCCAACAUUAAGUCAGCGUCAAAUUGACGUCAAAUACUGACAUCAACACGAUUUUCAUUCUCAACCAAAAUGCAACAUCUGUCCGACAUCAUGUCCAACGUCAACCUGACGUUAUAUAGAUGUCCAGUGCCUGCUGGGACAUGUUUUUGCACAAGUUUGUUGUGAUUGGAACAACUUAAAUAUCUGGUAGUGUAUUAUAGAUAAGACCCUUCUUCCUCGGCUGGGAUCGUUUGAAGCCGCAUUUAAACUGCAUUUUGGAAGUUCAAAAUCGGGGCACCAUAGCAGUCCAUUAUAUGGAGAAAAAUCCUGAAAUGUUUUCCUCAAAAAACAUAAUUUCUUUACGACUGAAGAAAGAAAGACAUGAACAUCUUGGAUGACAAGGGUGUGAGUACAUCAUCUGUAAAUUGUUGUGUUG